RNAcentral lists this ribosomal RNA (491 nucleotides) under uncultured bacterium. RNAcentral describes it as "partial 16S ribosomal RNA". It matches the Rfam family "Bacterial small subunit ribosomal RNA", at positions 29 to 507 of the family's 1533-position model. The record is from RNAcentral.
AGUGAACGCUGGCGGUAGGCCUAACACAUGCAAGUCGAACGGCAGCACAGAAGAGCUUGCUCUUACGGGUGGCGAGUGGCGGGCGGGUGAGGAAUACAUCGGAAUCUACUUUUUCGUGGGGGAUAACGGAGGGAAACUUACGCUAAUACCGCAUACGACCUACGGGUGAAAGCAGGGGAUCUUCGGACCUUGCGCGAUUGAAUGAGCCGAUGUCGGAUUAGCUAGUUGGCGGGGUAAAGGCCCACCAAGGCGACGAUCCGUAGCUGGUCUGAGAGGAUGAUCAGCCACACUGGAACUGAGACACGGUCCAGACUCCUACGGGAGGCAGCAGUGGGGAAUAUUGGACAAUGGGCGCAAGCCUGAUCCAGCCAUACCGCGUGGGUGAAGAAGGCCUUCGGGUUGUAAAGCCCUUUUGUUGGGAAAGAAAAGCAGCAGGUUAAUACCCCGCUGUUCUGACGGUACCCAAAGAAUAAGCACCGGCUAACUUCGUG